This 467-nucleotide ribosomal RNA is filed under the name uncultured bacterium. Its description in RNAcentral is "partial 16S ribosomal RNA". It matches the Rfam family "Bacterial small subunit ribosomal RNA", at positions 28 to 507 of the family's 1533-position model. The record is from RNAcentral.
GACGAACGCUGGCGGCGUGCUUAACACAUGCAAGUCGAACGGAAAGGCCUCUUUCGGGGGGUACUCGAGUGGCGAACGGGUGAGUAACACGUGAGUAACCUGCCCUUGACUUUGGGAUAACUUCCGGAAACUGGGGCUAAUACCGGCUAGGUGCUCCUGCUGCCUGGUGGGGGUUGGAAAGUUUCGGCGGUUGGGGAUGGACUCGCGGCUUAUCAGCUUUCUGGUGGGGUAGUGGCUUACCAAGGCUUUGACGGGUAGCCGGCCUGAGAGGGUGACCGGCCACAUUGGGACUGAGAGACGGCCCAGACUCCUACGGGACGCAGCAGUGGGGAAUAUUGCACAAUGGGUGGAAGCCUGAUGCAGCAGCGCCGUGUGCGGGAUGACGGCCUUCGGGUUGUAAACCGCAUUCGCUCAUGACGGAGCUUUGUGUGACGGUAGUGGGUAAAGAAGCACCGGCUAACUACGUG